RNAcentral lists this ribosomal RNA (362 nucleotides) under Nematoda environmental sample. RNAcentral describes it as "SSU rRNA". It matches the Rfam family "Eukaryotic small subunit ribosomal RNA", at positions 58 to 414 of the family's 1831-position model. The record is from RNAcentral. Lineage: Eukaryota; Metazoa; Nematoda.
UAUAAGUAUAAACGAUUUUAUCGUGAAACCGCGAACGGCUCAUUAUAACAGCUAUAAUUCACUUGAUCUUGACAAUCCUACUUGGAUAACUGUGGUAAUUCUAGAGCUAAUACAUGCACCAAAGCUCCGACCUUGCGGUAGGAGUGCAUUUAUUUGAACAAAACCAGGCGUUCACGCAAGUGGACGUUUUUUGUUGACUCAGAAUAACUAAGCUGAUCGCACGGUCUUGAACCGGCGACGUGUCUUUCAAGUAUCUGCCUUAUCAACUUUCGAUGGUAGUGUAUCUGACUACCAUGGUUGUGACGGGUAACGGAGGAUAAGGGUUCGACUCCGGAGAAGGGGCCUGAGAAAUGGCCACUACG